This 458-nucleotide ribosomal RNA is filed under the name uncultured bacterium. RNAcentral describes it as "bacterial SSU rRNA". It matches the Rfam family "Bacterial small subunit ribosomal RNA", at positions 408 to 864 of the family's 1533-position model. The record is from RNAcentral.
AUGAAGGUCCUAAGGAUUGUAAACUUCUUUUAUAUGGGAAGAAAAAAUGGAAUUCUUUCACACUUGACGGUACCAGAGGAAUAAGCACCGGCUAACUCCGUGCCAGCAGCCGCGGUAAUACGGAGGGUGCAAGCGUUAUCCGGAUUCAGUGGGUUUAAAGGGUGCGUAGGUGGGUAAGUAAGUCAGUGGAGAAAUCUCCUAGCCUAACUAGGAAACUGCCAUUGAUACUAUCUGUAGUGAGUAAGAGGGAGGUGGAACGGAAUAGGGCAUCUAGCGGAGAAAUGGUUAUAUAGGGCAACGCACACCAAGUGGGAAGGCACCUUACUCCGCAUUCACAGACAGUGCAGGCAAGAAAGCGUGGCGAUCAAACAGGAAUACCUACCCUGUUCGUCCCCGCCAUAAACGAUGCAUACUGGACGUUUGAGAUACACGUCAGUGUCUAAGCGAAACGCGUUAAA